GAUGAAGAACGCAGCGAAAUGCGAUACUUGGUGUGAAUUGCAGAAUCCCGUGAACCAUCGAGUCUUUGAACGCAAGUUGCGCCCGAAGCCAUUAGGCCGAGGGCACGCCUGCCUGGGCGUCACACGUCGUUGCCCCCCCCAUCUACUCCUUCGGGAUUGCGGGGGGCGGAUGAUGGCCUCCCGUGCGCCUCGCCGCGCGGUUGGCAUAAAUGCCAAGUCCUCGGCGACGCACGUCACGACAAUCGGUGGUUGCGAAACCUCGGUUGCCCGUCGUGUGCGGUCGUCGCGCAUCGAGGGCUCGAAAAAAUUGCCGAGUUCCGGCUCGGCUUUCAACGCGACCCCAGGUCAGGCGGGGUUACCCGCUGAAUUUAAGCAUAUCAAUAAGCGGAGGA
Molecule: unclassified non-coding RNA, 392 nt
Filed under: soil metagenome
Description: partial contains 5.8S ribosomal RNA, internal transcribed spacer 2, and large subunit ribosomal RNA
Rfam family: 5.8S ribosomal RNA (bases 1-122)
Source: RNAcentral